Molecule: ribosomal RNA, 532 nt
Filed under: Papilio polytes (common Mormon)
Lineage: Eukaryota; Metazoa; Arthropoda; Insecta; Lepidoptera; Papilionidae
Description: partial 16S ribosomal RNA
Rfam family: Bacterial large subunit ribosomal RNA (bases 399-532)
Source: RNAcentral
CAAAAACAUGUCUUUUUGAAAAUAAUUUAAAGUCUAAUCCUGCCCACUGAUAAUUUUAUUAAAGGGCUGCAGUAUUUUGACUGUACAAAGGUAGCAUAAUCAAUAGUCUCUUAAUUAGUGACUUGUAUGAAAGAUUGGAUGAAAUAUAUUCUGUCUCUAAUUAAUUUAUAGAAAUUAAUUUUUUAGUAAAAAAGCUAAAAUAAUUUUAAAAGACGAGAAGACCCUAUAGAGUUUAAUAAUUUAUUUAAUUAUUAUUAAUAUAUAAUUUUUAAAAUUAAAAUUAAAUAAAUUAUUUUGUUGGGGUGAUAGAAAAAUUAAAUUAACUUUUUUUAUUUAUUAACAUUAAUUUAUGAUUAGAUGAUCCAUUAAUAAUGAUUAAAAGAAAAAAUUACCUUAGGGAUAACAGCGUAAUUUUUUUUUUUAGUUCAAAUAGGAAAAAAAGUUUGCGACCUCGAUGUUGGAUUAAGAUAAAAUUUAAAUGCAAAAGUUUAAAAUUUUGAUCUGUUCGAUCAUUAAAAUCUUACAUGAUCUG